AACGAACGUUGGCGGCGUGGAUUAGGCAUGCAAGUCGAGCGAGAAAGCCACCUUCGGGUGGUGAGUAAAGCGGCGAACGGGUGAGUAACGCGUGGGGAACCUGCCCUCAGGUGGGGGAUAACACUCCUAACGGGGUGCUAAUACCGCAUGAUGCGGCUGGGUCGCAUGGCCCGGCCAUCAAAGGUGGCCUCUGAUAUAAGCUAUCGCCAGAGGAUGGCCCCGCGUCCGAUAGCUAGUUGGUGGGGUAAAGGCUCACCAAGGCUACGAUCGGUAGCUGGUCUGAGAGGAUGGUCAGCCACACUGGGACUGAGAUACGGCCCAGACUCCUACGGGAGGCAGCAGUCGAGAGGCUUCGGCAAUGGGGAAACCCUGACCGAGCGACGCCGCGUGGAGGAAGAAGGCCUGGU
This 407-nucleotide ribosomal RNA is filed under the name uncultured bacterium. RNAcentral's name for it is "bacterial SSU rRNA". It matches the Rfam family "Bacterial small subunit ribosomal RNA", at positions 28 to 420 of the family's 1533-position model. The record is from RNAcentral.